UAGGGAAUCUUCGGCAAUGGACGAAAGUCUGACCGAGCAACGCCGCGUGAGUGAAUAAAGUUUUCGGAUCGUAAAACUCUGUUGUUAGAGAAGAACAAGGACGUUAGUAACUGAACGUCCCCUUACUGUAUCUAACCAGAAAGCCACGGCUAACUACGUUCCAGCAGCCGCCGUAAUACGUAGGUGGCAAGCGUUGUCCGGAUUUAUUGGGCGUAAAGCGAGCGCAGGCGGUUUCUUAAGUCUGAUGUGAAAGACCCCGGCUAAAGCGGGGAGGGUAAUUGGAAACUGGGAGACAUGAGUGCAGAAGAGGAGAGUGGAAUUCCAUGUGUAGCGGUGAAAAGCGUAGAUAUAUGGAGGAACACCAGUGGAGAAGGCGGCUCACUGGUAUGUAACUGACGCUGAGGAUAGAAAGCGUGGGGAGCAAACAGG
This 429-nucleotide ribosomal RNA is filed under the name Gemmatimonadota bacterium. RNAcentral describes it as "Gemmatimonadetes bacterium partial 16S ribosomal RNA". It matches the Rfam family "Bacterial small subunit ribosomal RNA", at positions 355 to 776 of the family's 1533-position model. Lineage: Bacteria; Pseudomonadati; Gemmatimonadota. The record is from RNAcentral.